This 470-nucleotide ribosomal RNA is filed under the name uncultured bacterium. RNAcentral's name for it is "partial 16S ribosomal RNA". It matches the Rfam family "Bacterial small subunit ribosomal RNA", at positions 28 to 507 of the family's 1533-position model. The record is from RNAcentral.
GACGAACGCUGGCGGCGUGCUUAACACAUGCAAGUCGAACGGUGAACGAGGGAGCUUGCUCCCUCCGGAUCAGUGGCGAACGGGUGAGUAACACGUGAGCAAUCUGCCCCGGACUCUGGGAUAAGCGUUGGAAACGACGUCUAAUACCGGAUACGACGCGGGAGGGCAUCCUCUCCGCGUGGAAAGAACUUCGGUUCGGGAUGAGCUCGCGGCCUAUCAGCUUGUUGGUGAGGUAACGGCUCACCAAGGCGACGACGGGUAGCCGGCCUGAGAGGGUGACCGGCCACACUGGGACUGAGACACGGCCCAGACUCCUACGGGAGGCAGCAGUGGGGAAUAUUGCACAAUGGGCGCAAGCCUGAUGCAGCAACGCCGCGUGAGGGACGACGGCCUUCGGGUUGUAAACCUCUUUUAGCAGGGAAGAAGCGAAAGUGACGGUACCUGCAGAAAAAGCACCGGCUAACUACGUG